UAAAACCCUAAUUAAACACAACACCAUCAAUCAUCAUAUAUAGAAUAGAGAUGGAUUUUUGGAUUGAUAGAAACAAAUGAAAAGGUAAAAAAGAUGGAUAUUUGGAUUGAUAGAAAGAAUGAAAAGGUAAAAAGGAGACGAAAGAUUAUAUAUGGAAUAGAGAGAAAAGAGUAAAGAGAAGAAGAAGAAGAAACAAAUCAAAAAUUUUGUUUUUGUUGAAUUGAGAGAAAAAUAAAUUGAAGAUGAAAAAAAAUUGAUCUGAGAAAUUAGAUUUUU
Molecule: small RNA, 276 nt
Filed under: Arabidopsis thaliana (thale cress)
Lineage: Eukaryota; Viridiplantae; Streptophyta; Magnoliopsida; Brassicales; Brassicaceae
Description: ATSL224590
Source: RNAcentral